GACGCGGCUUGUUAAAAUGCGUCUCAUAUGUUGGUACAUAGGAGUGCGGGUGAGCUAUGAGAGUUUUCAGCAGACUCAUAGGAGACGCGGGUUAUUAACACGCGUCUCCUAUGACUUAUUGGAGACGCGUUUUGUUCUAACGUCUCCUAUGAUGGUAUCUUCUUUAAUUGUAUCUUACAUAGUGGUACAUGGUAUUUCACUCUCUCUUGCACCUACAUUUUUAACCAAAUAAUUGUCAUUAAAAUAGAUUAAACAGUUAUCCUGUUAUAGUGAGCCAUUGGCUAUCCUCCGGACCUCCACCACCUCGUCGUCUCGCCCAGCCAUCUCCACCACCGUUGAACCAACCAUCCUUUUCCGAGGUAUCAUAUGUAGCAGUCCCAAUUUCCAAACACAUAACACUAAUCCUCAGGCUUUUGGGUACCGAAUUUACAUCACCCUAAGAAUAAACUUAACCAAGCUAGAGAGGUUAGGAAUUGGAAGCUUGUACUUUUUUGUCUGCAUGCAUCCAAGAGCACUUGAA
This 520-nucleotide long non-coding RNA is filed under the name Setaria viridis. RNAcentral describes it as "long non-coding RNA (SVIR_LNC007175)". The record is from RNAcentral. Lineage: Eukaryota; Viridiplantae; Streptophyta; Magnoliopsida; Poales; Poaceae.